CCGCUAUCAAUUCGUUCCUUCUCCACAGCAACACAUCCGCCUUCUAGAACCUUCUCGCCGCCGCCGCCGCCGCCACCACCCGUCGAAGCGAAGCAAAGCAAUGGCCGGAGUCGGAUCGAAGGCCCUCGCCGUGGUCGCCGUCCUGGCGGCCGUCGCCCUGUCGGUGGCCAACGCGGCUGAUGCGCCCGCGCCCAGCCCCGUCUCCGCCGCCGGCGCCGCGUCGGCGCCCUUCGCCGCGGCACUCGUCGCCUCCGCCGCCUCCUUCCUCUUCGCCGCCGUCCGCCACUGAGCCGAUGGGGGCCUGAUGCCUCGUGCCUGCCCUGCCUACCUACCUAGCAGUACUUCCACCACCGCCGCCUUCGCCGCCUAGAUCUAUUUAUUAUUAUUGGAGUGUUAUUCAGUAGUAGUAGUAGUAGGGAGAGAUUUCUUCGUAGCUCUCGUGUCGUCGUCGCAUUUUGGUCGGAUCUGGUGUGUCCUUGGUGGAGGUUGGGUUUCUACCGUAUCGUGGUGUGUGUGUGUGUGUGUGUCGGUUGUGUGAUCUGAUGAUCCCCCCUUGUAGAUACUCUGCUUUCAUCUCGCCGUGAUCGUGAGUGGUGAUUCUGUCUGGUUGCUACUGAUAUAUUAUUAUUUCUUCUUAUUAUUAUUGGUCCCAUUUGAGACAUGUGUUGUUGCUGAUUUGUGUAUUAUUUCUUUCUCUGCGCUUGAUUUAUCGUUUACUCUGCUGCGUUCUGUGUAUUGUUCGCUCCGUCGCUGCGAAAUUUUGCGUCGCGGUUGGGAUCCGUGACGCGUUAGAUUUGUUUCUACUUCCGAUCCGCGUCGCGUUGCAUCGACGCAGGUUCUUUUUUGUUGUUGCCAGGAAGUAAAUUAAUUAAUUAUUACGAUCUGAAAGACUGACUGACUGGGCUUUAACGUGUCUUGGUCUGUGGUGUGUUUCGAUCUGGGUAGUUUUUUAUUUCUGAUGAGGAUUCUCAGUCAGGCAGGAGAAUGAACCUUGGGGCGUGUGUAGUUUAAUGCCCUUCCUCUGCUGACAAAAGAUUGAUUCGGCGUCUUGUUUAUGAAGGUCAGAAACUCAUGAAUAGUGGUGCCCAACCUUCAUCAGUUCCUUAAUAUUUUGCUCUGAAUGCAACAACGGCAGAAGUGGCAAAUCUCAGUGCGGAUUCAAAAUUCCUAGCAAACAAUGCCGGCAAAGUAAACAUGGACUGGCGAGCGACCAGGAGCAGCACAUGAUCGCUGUUGUUGAGGCAUGGAGCCAUAUGACCGCUCCUUUGGACGGUCCGGUCAGAGGUUCAGCUUGACCCAGACCUUUGCUGCCCUCCUCUUUUCAUUUUCAUUUCUCAAUGGCCAAUAACAUUCAGCAUCAACAGUGCUAGGCACUGCUACAAAUCCUACAAACAGUCAGAACACCACACUCUUUCUUGUACUCUACAGGUAGACAAGAAAACGGUGAUGCGUUGGCAGACGAGGAGGAGUUGAAGCGUGUAACAAACGGUUUACUACCCCUGUAGUACCUGUAGUGAGCGACGAGCGUGUAUUAUUCUGGCAUGUUUGGUUGCUAGCCAUAGUUUGCCACACUUUACCUUAGGCAAGUUUGAUCAAGUUAGCAAGUAUUUGGUUGACAACUAAGUUUAGGUAUGAUUCUUUUGGGCUC
RNAcentral lists this long non-coding RNA (1648 nucleotides) under Sorghum bicolor (sorghum). RNAcentral's name for it is "long non-coding RNA (SBIC_LNC005410)". The record is from RNAcentral. Lineage: Eukaryota; Viridiplantae; Streptophyta; Magnoliopsida; Poales; Poaceae.